GAUGAACGCUGGCGGCGUGCCUAAUACAUGCAAGUCGAGCGAACAGACGAGGAGCUUGCUCCUCUGACGUUAGCGGCGGACGGGUGAGUAACACGUGGAUAACCUACCUAUAAGACUGGGAUAACUUCGGGAAACCGGAGCUAAUACCGGAUAAUAUAUUGAACCGCAUGGUUCAAUAGUGAAAGACGGUUUUGCUGUCACUUAUAGAUGGAUCCGCGCCGCAUUAGCUAGUUGGUAAGGUAACGGCUUACCAAGGCAACGAUGCGUAGCCGACCUGAGAGGGUGAUCGGCCACACUGGAGCUGAGACACGGUCCAGACUCCUACGGGAGGCAGCAGUAGGGAAUCGUCCGCAAUGGGCGAGAGCCUGACGGAGCAACGCCGCGUGAGUGAUGAAGGUCUUCGGAUCGUAAAACUCUGUUAUUAGGGAAGAACAAAUGUGUAAGUAACUAUGCACGUCUUGACGGUACCUAAUCAGAAAGCCACGGCUAACUACGUG
This 497-nucleotide ribosomal RNA is filed under the name uncultured bacterium. RNAcentral's name for it is "partial 16S ribosomal RNA". It matches the Rfam family "Bacterial small subunit ribosomal RNA", at positions 28 to 507 of the family's 1533-position model. The record is from RNAcentral.